This 547-nucleotide ribosomal RNA is filed under the name Herpetomonas megaseliae. RNAcentral's name for it is "9S small subunit rRNA". It matches the Rfam family "Trypanosomatid mitochondrial small subunit ribosomal RNA", at positions 9 to 557 of the family's 623-position model. The record is from RNAcentral. Lineage: Eukaryota; Euglenozoa; Kinetoplastea; Trypanosomatida; Trypanosomatidae.
UAGUCAAUUGUUAUUAUUCAUAUUAAUUAAUUUAAUUGUUUUUAAAUUUUAUUUUAGUUUAUUUUUUAAAUAUUGUGCAAAUUGUUUAGGAAUAGUUAAUAAUAAUUUAUAAUUUUGAUUAGAUUAUUUUGUUAAUGCUAAUAUAUAGGUGUGGAAAAAGUGAAAAAUGUAAAAUACAAUAAAAUAAAAAACAAAAUUAACUCAUUAGUCAGAAAUGGAUGCCAGCCGUUGCGGUAAUUUCUAUGCUUUUAAAUAUUAUAAUGUUAUUUUAUCUCAAUGUUAUUUCUAAAUUCUAUAGAUUAGUCAAAAAUAAAUAUUUAAUUUUUUGUUUUUAAACACCAUCCGGUAUAUGCAAAUAAAAAAUGAAAGUAAUUAUUAAUUAUAUUAUAUUAUAUUUAUUCACAUUUUUACAUCUCCAAUAUUACGAACUUUUGACACCAUGAUAAGGAUAUUGAAUGGAAUUGAAAAUUUUAUAAUCAAAAUUAAUUAAUUAUAUUAAAUCUGCAAAAUUAGAUAAAACAAAAAAUUUAAAAGGUAUUGUUGCCCA